This is a long non-coding RNA of Helianthus annuus (common sunflower), 443 nucleotides long. RefSeq lists it as uncharacterized. The transcript is spliced from 3 exons. The record is from RefSeq and is a predicted model, not a curated record. Lineage: Eukaryota; Viridiplantae; Streptophyta; Magnoliopsida; Asterales; Asteraceae.
GCCAGGGGAAACCCUAGCUUCACCUAAUCUACCAAGAAAAUUAGUAGAGAUUCAAGGAAGUUGGAAGCACAAUCAGGAAAUCUCAAGCUUUUAACUUGUUCAUUGCAAGAGCGUGAAGGAAGAAGGCUCAAGUACUAAGAAACCGGAAAGCUCACAGGAUCGAGGUUAAUCCUCAACAUAGGCGACUUUGCGAAUUGGAGCGAGCACGUGUUCAAAAUAUGUUUACCAUGCGCUUCCGCUAGUUUGUGUUAGUGAUUUGGGUCAAAAUACUUUUUGUACCAUUUGUCGGUAGAAAAACUUUUAAUUUUUAAUGUUUUGGUUUUUAGUAGAAUCUUGUAGAAUGUAUUGUCUUGAUUAUGGUUAAAACAGGGGUAUACUCGUUUUACGGACGGGUCAUGCCCAAUUUUUGUAAAAUCAUACUUUAAUGUUAAAGGUUUUUCUUU